This 119-nucleotide ribosomal RNA is filed under the name Pteropus alecto (black flying fox). The record is from RNAcentral. Lineage: Eukaryota; Metazoa; Chordata; Mammalia; Chiroptera; Pteropodidae.
GUAUAUGGCUAUGCUACUGUGCACAAGCCCGAUCUUGUCUGAUCUUGGAAGCUAAGCAGGGUUGGUCCUGAUCAAUACUUGGAUGGGAGACAACCUAGGAAGACCAAAUGCUGCAGGUG